AACGGUCUAUACCUGCGGUACCUGCGGAAGGAUCAUUACAUGAUUUGAGGGGGCUCACGUCCCCUCAUCCAACCCACAGACCCCGAGGAACUUUUAUGUCGAGUGGUUCGGCGCUCUCUUUGAGAGCCGCCCCUCAAACGCAUCGCAGGCUUUUCGUGAAGGUCUGAUGUGUCACAUCGUGAGUAUUAAAACUUUCAACAACGGAUCUCU
This 210-nucleotide unclassified non-coding RNA is filed under the name soil metagenome. RNAcentral's name for it is "partial contains 5.8S ribosomal RNA, internal transcribed spacer 2, and large subunit ribosomal RNA". The record is from RNAcentral.